GACGAACGCUGGCGGGCGUGGGAUUAGGCAUGCAAGUCGAACGGUAGGAUACCUUCGGGUAUCUGAGAGUGGCGAACGGGUGAGUAACACGUAGGUGAUCUACCCUCAAGAUUGGGACAACCCAGGGAAACUUGGGCUAAUACCGGAUGAAAGCAGCAGUGAUGUUGUUUGAAAGGUGGCGUAAGCUGCCGUUUGGGGAUGAGCCUGCGCUCUAUUAGUUAGUUGGCGGGGUAAAGGCCCACCAAGGCGAUGAUAGAUAGGCGGCCUUAACGGGUGGUCGCCCACACUGGGAUUGAGAUACGGCCCAGACUCCUACGGGAGGCAGCAGUCGAGAAUAGUCUACAAUGGCCGAAAGGCUGAUAGUGCGACGCCGCGUGAACGAAGAAGCCCUUCGGGGUGUAAAGUUCUUUUAUAUGUGAGCAGUGCUUUCUAUGUGAACAGCAUGGGGAGAGAGAUAUUAGCAUAUGAAUAAGCAACGGCUAACUCCGUG
This 490-nucleotide ribosomal RNA is filed under the name uncultured bacterium. RNAcentral's name for it is "bacterial SSU rRNA". It matches the Rfam family "Bacterial small subunit ribosomal RNA", at positions 28 to 507 of the family's 1533-position model. The record is from RNAcentral.